UAGGAAGCAGUUUUCUGUCUCCAGCAAGAAGACUGUUUGGGGGUGAGCCUGCAUCUUGGAAUCUUGCUGUGAAGACAGUCUUGCCAGCUGCUUCCCUUAAUGAAGUGCUAUGAGAAGCUUCUCUGCCGCACUGCAAGGUGAGAGGACAUUGACUUGCAGGUGCAUCUCCUCAGGCUCUGGAAACACAUUUCUCCUGCUGCAGGAGCACUGCAUGUCCAUUUGCAGCUUCUGGAGGACUCUACUAGGCUUACUUCCACAUUGGAGCUCUGUUUGACAAAGAGGGGAAAAAGAAGACUGCAAGUCCUGGUUGCUGCAGCAGCCCCUGCUUCCUUCAGUAGGCUGCCUCCGCCCUGCCUGGGGAAGUGCUUCUGCUGUCUGAGGUGCUGGAUGCAGGUGGAGAUGGGCUCAUGCAUUCCGAUUUAUUGCUGGCACUCAAAAUGUCAGAAAGAUCCAGCCAAAACAAAGGUUUCUCCUUACCCUGUUACAGGAGCACGCACAGACCAAGGUUUUCAAAAGACUGGAGUCAGGCUUCCACCCUCAUCACUGGAAACUCAAUGUCUCAGUGUUACAAGAAGUCUGCAUUGCCAAGGCAUGGAGAGCAGGAAGAGCCUGUCCUCAGUGACACCUGUGGAAAUCAUUGACUUGAGCAGGCUCUUCUGGCCCUGCUCAUGCCAAUGGAAGUUCUCUGCUCCCUUGAUGCAGCCACAUUUGGGGCUGAAAGCACAACACAAGUCCAGGGCUUCAAGUGUUUAUUGCAAGAGACUGUUCCUCGGUGACUUUUGUUUAUUUAUCUUUAUGAUGGCUGUGACUGAAGGACUUUACCACCUAUUUUUGUUGCUGCUGUUAUUGCUAUUGUUGUGGUUGUAAUUAAUGUAAUUUAUUUUGUAAAUUAUCAGUUAUCUAGUAAACGUAUCUUUGGGGAUUUGUCCUGAAGAACAGUACUUUAUUAGAGAUAAUCCUUAGCUACUCAGCUCAAAUAACAUUCCAAAGCUGGAAGUCUCUCACAGAGAGACCAAUUGUGACUAUUAAAGGGGAUUUGGAGGAGGAGGAGGCAAGAAUGACGUUUUCAAAUAUUCCAUGAAGUUGAAAACUUAACCAACAAUAUCAAUGAAUCCCUGCACAGGCUCUCAGCCUCAUUUUGCUUUGUGUUAAAAGAUUCUCGGCUGCAUUUUAAUUGUGUGCCUAAUAUUAUUGAUAUUUAGCAGUUGUUUCUGUCACCUUCCAUCUCAGUCACCAUUACAAAACACAGCUCGGGCUACCUGGGAAUUAAUUUUCUGGCUAAUAUUUUGUCUCAUCUCCUGAGAGGACCUGAUAUAAUAGCCAGCAAAUCAGGGAUCAAACAGCCCCUGUUUUGUGGAUCCACUCUUUCUCUAUGCUCCGUGUCAGCUCCAGUUGAAAUGAAACUUAUUUUAUCUUGCAUUAUGAGUGUAUGGAUUCUGAAUUUUCCAAGCUAAGCAGCUGUUCUCACUAGUCCAGGCAGGAUUUGCAAUGUGACUUGUAAUUAAACACAAGACAUGUAGAAAGCAGAGAGGCACUGACCCAGAUUCACAAAGACUCACUUGUGCCCAUGUGUAAAUACUCUGCUUUGCUGAUGGCAGAAAAUAUGAGACAGCUCCAGGGGUGAGGCAGGGCCCCUUCCCUUUUCUGUUACUUGUGGAAGUUUCCAUUGUUCCCAGGCAGCCAACCCCUAUGGUAAUCCAGUGGCAACUGCGGGGUUGGCCCAUGGUGAGGCUUGGCUGUGCUCGUGGUGCUCAGGGCCAGGGGACAGUGGUCAGGAGGCUGCACACGGAAGCUGCUCAGCCGAGAUCACUUCAGCUGAAGCGCUGAGUGUGGAGCCUCAGGGUAGUGAGGGGCUCAAUGUGUUUAC
Numida meleagris (helmeted guineafowl) is the source of this 1867-nucleotide long non-coding RNA. The record is from Ensembl. NCBI's taxonomy places the organism in Eukaryota, Metazoa, Chordata, Aves, Galliformes, Numididae.